GACGAACGCUGGCGGCGUGCUUAACACAUGCAAGUCGAACGGAAAGGCCCUGCUUGCAGGGUCCUCGAGUGGCGAACGGGUGAGUAACACGUGGGUGAUCUACCCUGCACUUCGGGAUAAGCCUGGGAAACUGGGUCUAAUACCGGAUAGGAGCCAUUUUUAGUGUGAUGGUUGGAAAGUUUUUUCGGUGUAGGAUGAGCUCGCGGCCUAUCAGCUUGUUGGUGGGGUAAUGGCCUACCAAGGCGGCGACGGGUAGCCGGCCUGAGAGGGUGGACGGCCACAUUGGGACUGAGAUACGGCCCAGACUCCUACGGGAGGCAGCAGUGGGGAAUAUUGCACAAGGGGCGCAAGCCUGAUGCAGCGACGCCGCGUGGGGGAUGACGGCCUUCGGGUUGUAAACUCCUUUCGCUAGGGACGAAGCUUUUUGUGACGGUACCUAGAUAAGAAGCACCGGCUAACUACGUG
RNAcentral lists this ribosomal RNA (465 nucleotides) under uncultured bacterium. RNAcentral's name for it is "partial 16S ribosomal RNA". It matches the Rfam family "Bacterial small subunit ribosomal RNA", at positions 28 to 507 of the family's 1533-position model. The record is from RNAcentral.